Gadus macrocephalus (Pacific cod) is the source of this 849-nucleotide long non-coding RNA. RefSeq lists it as uncharacterized. Lineage: Eukaryota; Metazoa; Chordata; Actinopteri; Gadiformes; Gadidae. The record is from RefSeq and is a predicted model, not a curated record. The transcript has 3 exons.
GUUUUUCUGUAUGUUUAAGUUCUGAUUCAAACCCAUGAUUGAAUCCUCAAUCACUCUAUUUGAAAAAAGUUGAACUUGGAGAUAGUGUUACUCUCAGUUGUACAGAUUUGAAAAAUCAGAAUAUCAAUAAAGAGUUAUACUGGUACAAGCAAUCUCUGGGAUAUUAUCCCCUAAUGGUAGCUAGCAAAUUUUAUACAUCAAAGAUUAACAAGUCUUUUAUGUUGAGGUUCAAUGUGGGAAAUGGAAGUAACUUCAAUUUGACAAUCAGCAAUGUUAAAAAAGAGGAUGAAGCAAAUUAUUUCUGUAAUCAAGGAGGACAAUAUCUAAAUAUUUGGAAUAAUGGUGUUUUCCUGACCGUCAAAGGUAAAUCAUAUAUUUGUUAGGAUAUUUUGUUGUUUUAAAUAUAAUCGAAAAUUGUGAUACUGUUGGCUUGGUGUCUGGAUUAUAUGGUUAGAAAGAGGAUUAUAAUCCUCUUUCUAACCUGAAAUAAAAAGCAAGUUUGUGAGCAUUGCAAAGGAACACUGAGAGCCUCCUACCAUGUUGCACAUGACUCAGUGAUUCAGGAACAACAGGAAGGAGAAACAGAUUUGGAAAACUAUGCAGCGUUGGAGUUCUCCAGUGAAAGGACUCAGGAGAGUUUGUAUUCUACUUUGAGAGAAACUUGCCACUGAAGUCCAUCAACCAGGUCCUAUUAUAGUUUGAUCGGGUGGAUGUCUAGUACAUUUCUAAAAGGGAUAAAAAGUACAAUCUCAAGUUAAGAUGAAAGAUACAAUAAAUAAUACGAUUUAGACAAAACUCAAAUGGAAGGACAUGUUUACAGCGCUGGUAGGAGAUUCAGUUCAAAGUAUU